GCCGAAGUGGCGGAAGUGGUAGACGCGACAGUCUCAAAAACUGUUGGAGAGCAAUCUCCGUGUCGGUUCGAGUCCGACCUUCGGCACCA
This 89-nucleotide transfer RNA is filed under the name Dehalococcoidia bacterium. RNAcentral describes it as "tRNA-Leu". It matches the Rfam family "tRNA". Rfam says of the family: Transfer RNA (tRNA) molecules are approximately 80 nucleotides in length. Their secondary structure includes four short double-helical elements and three loops (D, anti-codon, and T loops). Further hydrogen bonds mediate the characteristic L-shaped molecular structure. tRNAs have two regions of fundamental functional importance: the anti-codon, which is responsible for specific mRNA codon recognition, and the 3' end, to which the tRNAs corresponding amino acid is attached (by aminoacyl-tRNA synthetases). tRNAs cope with the degeneracy of the genetic code in two manners: having more than one tRNA (with a specific anti-codon) for a particular amino acid; and 'wobble' base-pairing, i.e. permitting non-standard base-pairing at the 3rd anti-codon position. The record is from RNAcentral. Lineage: Bacteria; Bacillati; Chloroflexota; Dehalococcoidia. RNAcentral also lists the same sequence under 1 other name.